RNAcentral lists this long non-coding RNA (242 nucleotides) under Penaeus monodon (black tiger shrimp). RNAcentral describes it as "uncharacterized LOC119574933". Lineage: Eukaryota; Metazoa; Arthropoda; Malacostraca; Decapoda; Penaeidae. The record is from RNAcentral.
CUUAGCUCCAAGCUCCGUGCCCAUACACACCAUAUUCACCACUUUUCCUUUAUGAAAGUGAAUCGAGUAUUGAGCAUUCGAGUACCUUCUCAAGACGGCAGACAAUUGCUGAGCUCGGAUACCUCGCAAGCAAACAAGCUUUAUCAGAAGACACAGCCUGGACCAAUCCAAUGUUCAGUUUUUUAUUGAGGAUGCACACUUGUUUACCUUGUACAAACUGUAAAUAUAUUGGUGAAAUGUGU